This 405-nucleotide unclassified non-coding RNA is filed under the name soil metagenome. RNAcentral describes it as "partial contains 5.8S ribosomal RNA, internal transcribed spacer 2, and large subunit ribosomal RNA". The stretch from base 1 to 121 matches the Rfam family "5.8S ribosomal RNA", at positions 35 to 154 of the family's 154-position model. The record is from RNAcentral.
GAUGAAGAACGUAGCGAAAUGCGAUAAGUAAUGUGAAUUGCAGAAUUCAGUGAAUCAUCGAAUCUUUGAACGCACCUUGCGCCCUUUGGCCAUUCCGAAGGGCAUGCCUGUUUGAGUAUCAUGAACACCUCAACUCUUUAUGGUUUUCCAUGAUGAGCUUGGACUCUGGGGGUUUUGCUGGCUCACAGUCGGCUCCUCUAAAAUGAAUCAGCUUACCAGUGUUUGGUGGGUAUCAUGGGUGUGAUAACUAUCUACGCUUGUGGUUUUUCCACCGGGUAACCUUCAGCAGUGGAGGUUCGCUGGAGCUCAUAGAUGUCUCUCCUCAGUGAGGACAGCCCUUUGAAUGUUUGAUCUCAAAUCAGGUAGGACUACCCGCUGAACUUAAGCAUAUCAAUAAGCGGAGGA